AUCACAUUGAAAUACCGGUUCCUCUAUGAAUACCAAAGUUAAGCAACGUCGAGAAUGAUCAGUACCGAGUUAGGUGACCUCUUGGGAAUACCAGGUUGCU
Molecule: non-coding RNA, 100 nt
Organism: Acanthosepion pharaonis
Lineage: Eukaryota; Metazoa; Mollusca; Cephalopoda; Sepiida; Sepiidae
Source: the annotation of a GenBank genome assembly